Long non-coding RNA from Bombus huntii, 3790 nucleotides. RefSeq lists it as uncharacterized. The transcript is spliced from 3 exons. The record is from RefSeq and is a predicted model, not a curated record. NCBI's taxonomy places the organism in Eukaryota, Metazoa, Arthropoda, Insecta, Hymenoptera, Apidae.
UAGCGAGGUACGUUUCUGACAACCAGAACAUACUAUUAGCUACAAAAUUGACAAAUUUCACAAUUUCUAACAUUUCUGUUAAAAGGCAACAAUUUCCAUUGCAUAGCUGUAUCGAUAGCGAGUAAGCAAAGCACGGUGAAAUUGAAAUCGAACAUAACUCCCGUCAACCAUAAACCUACUAUCCGUUUUAUGGAAAUUAUAAAUAACACGGCAGGAACUCGUUAAUACCGUUACUCGAUGCAUUACGAGUGCGUGUAAGCAUUGCGUUAUCAAAACAGAAAAAAUUCGAACGCGCGUAGCGAUAUUUUAUCCGCGAGAAACCUCUUGGAGCAUGUAACCGUUCGCCAUUUGCACGUCCGAUGACAUUCUUGGAAUUAAAAUUAUGUUUUUCACUCGUCGACCGUAACCAAUUCGAUAUUUUUUACGCAUGUUUAGGGGUGAAUUUAAAGAAACCGGAAGAAUAAUUCAGAGGUUACUAGGAAGUUUCUUCAGGUAAUAAUGGUCUGGUUUAUUUAUCUGUUAGCCCCUUCGAUGGCCGUGCAAACAUCGUGCGUUGUCCCAUAUGUUACUCGUGCACUCCUUCGACCGACAUGUGCGUCCUUGUACCAAAAAUGGCAACCCCUCCUCGAUAGAAGUCAAAUAACCCGACUUCUGUUUCACAUUUUGUGUAUUUAAAAUAGUUUUCGGGAAAACAUUUCGUUAUCAUUAUCAGGGAUGUGUUGGCCAACUGAAUCGUCCUUGAAAAGUUAUCAAUUUAUUACAAUUUUUCUAAUAAACAUUGUCAACGGUUAUUAAAAACGAAAUAUGGUAUGAAAUCUUUCAGUAGUUUUGUCGAUCGGUAAAGACGGAAUUUAGAAAAAUCUCCAAUACUGCACUAGUACUCAACUAAAUCUCUGAGCUAUAGGAAUUGGAAGAUUAAUAUUUCUUUCUAGAUGCGUUUCUGGAUCCUUUCGCUUGUAUGUUUCACGUUACACCGUAAAAUGCGUCGAGUUCGACCGGCUUGGAAUUUUCUUCAUUAAUAAACCUAUCGAAACGAGCGAUUCGUUUUUCCCCUAGCAACCGGUUUCCUCGUGGUUGUGUUCACGAGUCGUCUUCGUAUACGGGAUCUAUUUCGGGUAAGACGACCGCCGUCGUCUCGACGCACCAGUAGACGUCAUUCUUCCGAGAUGCGAUCACCACGUACCAACGAACGCCGUCGUUAUGUCUAAGAAUGUACCAGCUGUCGGUACAUGACUUCAUUGCAAACAAGUUCAAACAACUUUGCGCCGCUGUGAAAUGCAAAUAUCAUAACUCGUCAAGGUUCUGCAUAUUAUCUACAUAAAUUACAAAAGAUACAUCAUAUCCCUUUGCUAUGCAAUUUAAAAACCGGAAGUACUCCACUGGUAAUUCUAAUUCGUCCUACGAUUUAGAUAAUUUUGAUUCUUUGCUCAUAUUGUAACAUAAUGAGUCGUUGAUUCUUCUCGUUAUCCCGUUAAAUAAUAGGAAUUCGCGCUCAAGCAAAUUAAUUCGAUAGCUAAACAUUGAAUUAGGCGAGAGUCAACUAAAAUAUCGCUCCAAUGGACGUAACUCGGACAAAGUUCUACCGUAUUUCCUUUUGAUGGUUAAUUUAAGCGCAUAAUUUCUCUUUCCUUCUUUGUAUGGCGGAACAGCGGAUGCACGUGUAUACACGAACACAGAUCGGUGGUUGUAACCACGCCUUUAGGUUCGCGGGGGGUCUGGCUGCCGCGGUAUACAUGGAACAAAGAAAAGGAAGAGAGGACUAAAUAUCUCGCUGCUCGAUUUCUGCGAACCGUUCCAGGAAUUGAUAUUUUUAAACCGUUGCAUUUAGGACCGUCUGUGACCUCGACGUCACUGAAGCGUCUGGUUCAAAAGUAACAUGGAAGUUUCGACGCAGUCAGAAUUAUGGAUCAGUUUCCGCGAAUUGUUUUCCUCAGGUGUAUACUUAAAGACAUAGAAACUCCCUCGAUAAUUGCACGAGGGAAGGACAAGGCGAGGAAAAAGAAUUUUUCUAUUCUUAGGAGAUAUUCUCCCCACUCGAAACUACGCUCUUUCUUCUCCUUCCGUUUCAUGCCGAGGCCAAAGGAAAUCAUCGAUUUUAUCUUUCUUCUUUGCUCUAUCUCCUUUUAAGUUUCUUUCUUUGCCACAGUUGCAUUAACUAGACGACGGACCCUCGGGUAAAAUGAAAUCGCGCUGCAAGCGAUCGAAGAAAUUACGAUAAAUCGCAGACAUACACUUUUCAGAGGAAAACAAUUUUAGCGUGAGAUUUGCUGCUAAAAUUAAAUUGACGAGACAAUGCCUGGCUAACGUCAUCCAUUCUUGAAAGAGACGCGACAAUUAUCUGAUACACAGUGUAAACACGAGACGGUGGAAUAAUUCAGUCGGUGUGGAAACGAACUAAUUCGUGCGAUCGCACGCGAUUGUUGUAAUUGAUGUGCAACCAUGCUAACGACAGGAUGCGUCCGUUUGCAUUCGUUUCACUCUAGAUCCUGUCAAUGAGUUCUCACGAAAUGUGUUCGUUUUAUUCCUCUUGGAAAUUGUAUUGUUUAUUGUCGUACAUUAACGAUGAUUUCCAAUGUAAUAUUUCCUUUUAGUCGAAAUGCUCAUAUAUCAUUUGGAAUCUGAAGAAUACUGGAUUCGUAAAGUCCAUGGUCUGAUAUAUAAAGUCCAAUAGAUCUCAAAGCUUUUCAACAGCGGAGCAUCUCUCUGCAGCUCUCGACUCUCUCGAGUUGAACGAACUUGCGCAGCCUGUGCACGGACUUCAACGACACCCUUGACGCCUCAGACGCCACUUACUAAUUCUCUGCCCUUUGCACCCACGCACGCACGUGCCUGCAGGCUAAUGCAAUAACGCGGUCGGAACUUUCUGUCAGGGGCUUAGCCUUGCUACCACGUGGUUUAUGCGCGUGCUGAGCCUAGAAGGUGACGAGAACAUACGUAAAUUGCCUACCGACAUUACUUCCUGGUUAUAUUUAGGCUCUCCUAACUCCAAGAUCGAAUUUCUUAUGGGGACGACCCCACGAAGAAUCCGCGAUAAACUGGCUGGAAUGGUUCAAUUAGAACUCAAGUUCAGAGUUUAUGGGCGGUCACUACUAAGAUCGUAGUGCUGCAGUAAAGAUUUGUAAUAUUUUUAAUUAAUACAAAAAUCGGAAUUAUAUUCUCAAAUACCGAUUUUUAACGUGGCUUCUUCACCUGAUACGUAUGUAUUAAUUUACCUAAAAUUAAUGUUAAAUAAUUAAAGUUGCAACAAGAAACACCGAAUUAGGGUGUUUACGAGUCGUAAUUGGUCGAUGCAUUUUGAUCGUCCAACCGCCCGAAUUUCGAACAGAGAAUAAAUAUAGAUCGAAUGUUCAGGUAUCCCCUAUUUUCAGCAGUUCCUCCCAAUCGUCUCAUCUACUCUUUUUUACUUAAUGCAUUCCCUAAAAUGGCUGCUUCCCCUUAUUUUCAAGACUUCCCUAUGGUACACGUUAAUGUGGGGCACGCGCGCCUGCGAGACGACGGACACGUGCGCGUCUGUGUAUGAAUUGUCAAACCUACUUGCGUCGGACAACAUCGGGCAGCCGUUUGAUACUUGUUGGCGUGAUUAAUACGAGUUCGAAGGUUGUAUAAAAAUGAAACGGAAUUGAGAUGAAGUAGAGGAAGAUCGUACUGGCAAUGAGCGAUAAGUCUGCUCAUAACGGAAGAAUUCACUUAAACGCUUCGAGAGGUACGGACAGAGAAAGGUACAGAGCUUUUUAGUUAUAGAGGAUACUUACUUUAUGGCACGUGAUGCAAAUGAACCAGAACUAGCAGU